This 253-nucleotide ribosomal RNA is filed under the name uncultured bacterium. Its description in RNAcentral is "partial 16S ribosomal RNA". It matches the Rfam family "Bacterial small subunit ribosomal RNA", at positions 524 to 776 of the family's 1533-position model. The record is from RNAcentral.
UACAGAGGGUGCGAGCGUUGUUCGGAAUUACUGGGCGUAAAGGGCUCGUAGGCGGCCAACUAAGUCAGACGUGAAAUCCCUCGGCUUAACCGGGGAACUGCGUCUGAUACUGGUUGGCUUGAGUCCGGGAGAGGGAUGUGGAAUUCCAGGUGUAGCGGUGAAAUGCGUAGAUAUCUGGAGGAACACCGGUGGCGAAGGCGGCAUCCUGGACCGGUAUUGACGCUGAGGAGCGAAAGCCAGGGGAGCAAACGGG